Molecule: small RNA, 67 nt
Filed under: Bacillus subtilis
Lineage: Bacteria; Bacillati; Bacillota; Bacilli; Caryophanales; Bacillaceae
Description: Bacillaceae-1 RNA
Rfam family: Bacillaceae-1 RNA
Source: RNAcentral
AUAAAAGGAACGGCAGCUAAAUGCUUAGGCGCCCUGCCUAAACACCACCGUCAGCACAUCCUGUGAA